RNAcentral lists this ribosomal RNA (153 nucleotides) under Stylonychia pusilla. Its description in RNAcentral is "5.8S ribosomal RNA". It matches the Rfam family "5.8S ribosomal RNA". Rfam says of the family: 5.8S ribosomal RNA (5.8S rRNA) is a component of the large subunit of the eukaryotic ribosome. It is transcribed by RNA polymerase I as part of the 45S precursor that also contains 18S and 28S rRNA. The record is from RNAcentral. Lineage: Eukaryota; Ciliophora; Spirotrichea; Sporadotrichida; Oxytrichidae.
ACCAAAUUCUCAACGAUGGAUAUCUUGGUUCCUAUUACGAUGAAGAACGCAGCGAAGUGCGAUAAGCAGUGCGAAUUGCAGAACCGUGAGUCAUCAGAUUUUUGAACGCAACUGGCACUAGAUGGUUAUCCGUCUAGUAUGCUUGUUUCAGUG